Molecule: ribosomal RNA, 254 nt
Filed under: uncultured bacterium
Lineage: Bacteria
Description: partial 16S ribosomal RNA
Rfam family: Bacterial small subunit ribosomal RNA
Source: RNAcentral
UACGUAGGGGGCAAGCGUUGUCCGGAAUUACUGGGCGUAAAGGGCGCGUAGGCGGUCGUGACAGGUCACUUGUGAAAUCUCCGGGCUUAACUCGGAACGGUCAAGUGAUACUGUCGGACUAGAGUACAGAAGGGGCAACUGGAAUUCUCGGUGUAGCGGUGAAAUGCGUAGAUAUCGAGAGGAACACCUGCGGCGAAGGCGGGUUGCUGGGCUGAUACUGACGCUGAGGCGCGAAAGCCAGGGGAGCGAACGGG